AUCUGCUCUAAUUUCUGUCUCAUACUGUUUAGUUUAGUACCCAAAAUUUUCGAUUUUCUCAUGCUUGUGGGGUGCUGCUAGAAGCCCCCCAUUAUGGUGAGAAUCAUAUUGACUAGUGACCAUUUGCUCUUGAACCACAUAUGUUAAUGUUGUUGAAAAGUACCAUGUGCAAAGCACUUAGUGCAUAUUUAUGUAACCAAACAAAAGGCAACUAUGACUGCCCAUUUCCUUGCUUAAAACCUCUCAAUGUUUUUCCAGAAAGCUUACCAAAUCAAUCUUUUGGCUAACAGUGGUCGAUUUUCCAGGCCUAUUCCUGGAUCAAUCUUUUGGCUCCAUAAGCUGUUGAAUUCACUUCCCUGUAGGCAAAUGGACUUGAUACAUGCCGCAGAAAAUCCAUAAGAUCAAACAUACUCUUCGCCAGCAUCUAGAGCAAAAUUGGCAGAAUCUGUCGUUGAGCCUUCUACUUCCAGGUGGUCAAUCUCAUUUACUUCACUGGUUAAGCCAUCUUCAGAAUCUGCUUGAUCAGGUUUCCAAUUCUUCAGGAGCUCCAUUACUUUCUUGCACUGUUGCUCGGGUUGUGGGACUCCAUAUAUGUUCAUAAGAACUAGAAGUGAUUUUGCAAGAAGUUUCUCCUCCCGCAAAGCGUUCAGGACUACCAGCAGUUGAUGAUAAUGCUCAGCAAAAGGUUUGGGUAGGCCAAACACUCAAAUAUGGUGGAUCCAAAAUAGACACAACUUGUCACGGUGAUGCAGAUUGUGGACCAAUCUGUAAAUCUUUUGGUUCUCUUGUAGGGUGCAAAUGCAUCCCUGGCAACGUGUGCUGCUGCCGUUUGCGGUCACGACCGUGCCAAUGUAGUUGAACACUUUGUCAUGUAUCACAAUUCUCAUGUAUUGCUUAAAUUGUUGCCUCAAUUAUUUGUUGCUUGAAGACCAAAUGGAUGCUCAAUGAAGUCUUAUUAUCAUGCAUUUUUGUUCUACAAA
Coffea arabica (coffee) is the source of this 980-nucleotide non-coding RNA. Lineage: Eukaryota; Viridiplantae; Streptophyta; Magnoliopsida; Gentianales; Rubiaceae. The record is from RefSeq and is a predicted model, not a curated record.